This 497-nucleotide ribosomal RNA is filed under the name uncultured bacterium. RNAcentral describes it as "partial 16S ribosomal RNA". It matches the Rfam family "Bacterial small subunit ribosomal RNA", at positions 28 to 507 of the family's 1533-position model. The record is from RNAcentral.
GACGAACGCUGGCGGCGUGCCUAAUACAUGCAAGUCGAACGAGAGCGACCGGUGCUUGCACUGGUCAAUCUAGUGGCGAACGGGUGAGUAACACGUGGGUAACCUGCCCAUCAGAGGGGGAUAACAUCCGGAAACGGAUGCUAAAACCGCAUAGGUCUUCGAGCCGCAUGGCUUGAAGAGGAAAAGAGGCGCAAGCUUCUGCUGAUGGAUGGACCCGCGGUGCAUUAGCUAGUUGGUGAGGUAACGGCUCACCAAGGCCGUGAUGCAUAGCCGACCUGAGAGGGUGAUCGGCCACAUUGGACUGAGACACGGCCCAAACUCCUACGGGAGGCAGCAGUAGGGAAUCUUCCGCAAUGGACGCAAGUCUGACGGAGCAACGCCGCGUGAGUGAAGAAGGUUUUCGGAUCGUAAAACUCUGUUGUUAGAGAAGAACAAGUGCUAGAGUAACUGUUAGCGCCUUGACGGUAGCUAACCAGAAAGCCACGGCUAACUACGUG